CCAAUUGUUUUUUUACUAUGAAUUUGUACAAUAUAUAUGUUACAGCUUGUCUGUAAAUAUAGUGAUAAACAUUAAACUGACUAAAUUUAGCGGACUCGGGGGCGGAGCCCGACAUCUCCACCAAUGGGGAUGAAUUAGGAUCGACGUAGGUUGAAAGGUUUGAUUUUUACUCGGUGUUGUUUGCCGUAAUAGAACUAAAAAGAUAAAUGCAAAUAAUAACGCAUUUGCACCUGCAAAUGGUAAUAGCUUACAAGCUGUUGCUGUAGGUGCAUAAUUUAUAAUAUCUAUAUAAUUUAAAAUUAUAUUUUUAUUAUAAAUGAGCGGCUUGUAGGGUGCCGGGCAACAGAAACCUUACGCU
RNAcentral lists this transfer-messenger RNA (358 nucleotides) under Candidatus Cytomitobacter primus. RNAcentral's name for it is "Alphaproteobacteria transfer-messenger RNA". It matches the Rfam family "Alphaproteobacteria transfer-messenger RNA". Rfam says of the family: Bacterial tmRNA, also known as 10Sa RNA or SsrA, is named for its dual tRNA and mRNA-like properties. Its role is to liberate the mRNA from a stalled ribosome. Lineage: Bacteria; Pseudomonadati; Pseudomonadota; Alphaproteobacteria; Holosporales; Holosporaceae. The record is from Rfam by way of RNAcentral.